UACGGGGUGUUUCCACUCUGCUGGGCUCCACCUUCAGACGGAGACUCCAAUCAGCUUCCACACCUGGUUCCAAUCAAGUCACCUGCAUAUAAGACCAGCGUUCACGACAGACCCCUGCCAGAUCUUCUGCUAACACAUGACCCAUCUGCCUGCCUCCCUGCUCAGCUCCCCACUCCAAGCCUAUUCUGGAUCUGCUUUGGACACUCCUCACCCGGAACCCCCUGGACACUCCCUCCUCGAUUGACACUUCAAAUCUGCAACGCGUAAGCCCAAACCACCAUAGCCUAAUCCUCCAGCUGUGAUUCAUUGAGACUACCACUGACUACUUUCCUCCUCUCAUCAUAGUGACUUCACACCUCCCUCCAAGCCGCUGCCCCCUUUCUCCAUUCCCCGGAUCCCUCUGUGGAAUCCAGCCCUCAGAGUUUCUCGUUCACAGUUUUGCCUCACAGUUUUCCGCUCAUAGCUUUCACAGUUCAUAGCAUGCAUAGGUUAUAGCAUUCUUAGUUUUCUGUUUUGUAACUUCGCUCAGCUCUGUAAAUAAACUCUGUGCUCACGCCC
Maylandia zebra (zebra mbuna) is the source of this 558-nucleotide non-coding RNA. Lineage: Eukaryota; Metazoa; Chordata; Actinopteri; Cichliformes; Cichlidae. The record is from RefSeq and is a predicted model, not a curated record.